GCUUAGCCUUAAACAUAAAUUCUUCAAUAACAAAAUUAUUCGCCAGAGUACUACUAGCAACUGCUUAAAACUCAAAGGACUUGGCGGUGCUUUACAUCCCUCUAGAGGAGCCUGUUCUAUAAUCGAUAAACCCCGAUAAACCUCACCACCCUUUGCAACUAUCAGCCUAUAUACCGCCAUCUUCAGCAAACCCUAACAAGGCACUAAAGUAAGCAUAAUAAUACUUACAUAAAAACGUUAGGUCAAGGUGUAGCCUAUAGGGUGGAAAGAAAUGGGCUACAUUUUCUAGUAUUCAUAGAACAACACAACGAUAACUUAUAUGAAACAUAUAAGUCCAAGGCGGAUUUAGUAGUAAGCCAAGAAUAGAGAGCUUGACUGAAUUGGGCAAUAAAGC
Molecule: ribosomal RNA, 394 nt
Filed under: Pteromys volans (Siberian flying squirrel)
Lineage: Eukaryota; Metazoa; Chordata; Mammalia; Rodentia; Sciuridae
Description: partial 12S ribosomal RNA
Rfam family: Bacterial small subunit ribosomal RNA (bases 46-394)
Source: RNAcentral